This 404-nucleotide ribosomal RNA is filed under the name uncultured bacterium. RNAcentral's name for it is "bacterial SSU rRNA". It matches the Rfam family "Bacterial small subunit ribosomal RNA", at positions 355 to 775 of the family's 1533-position model. The record is from RNAcentral.
CAGGGAAUCUUGCGCAAUGGACGGGAGUCCGACGCAGCGACGCCGCGUGGGUGAAGACGGCCUUCGGGUUGUAAAGCCCUUUUCUGGGGGAAGAGAGAGGACGGUACUCCAGGAAUAAGUGUCGGCUAACUACGUGCCAGCAGCCGCGGUAAUACGUAGGACACGAGCGUUAUCCGGAUUUACUGGGCGUAAAGCGCCUGUAGGCGGUUCUUCAAGUCGUUUGUGAAAGCCCUGGGCUCAACAUGGGGAGGCCAAGCGAUACUGGAGGACUUGAGGAUGAUAGAGAUGAGUGGAAUUUCCGGUGUAGCGGUAAAAUGCGCAGAUAUCGGGAGGCACACCAGUGGCGAAGGCGGCUCCCUGGGUCACCCCUUACGCUGAGAGGCGAAAGCUAGGGGAGCAAACAG